CUACGAGCGUGCACUACAAUAGAAUUACAAAUAUGUCAAUAAAAUCAGUAAGUUACAAAUUUCUUCUAUUACAAAAGAUUUUCCCCAACUAAAAAUGUUUAUAGUUAAUGUAUUAACCAUUUGAUAUUAGCGACGUAUGAAGGAGGAGGUUUGAUAGUUAAUCAGGAUUAUUUUCCUUUUGUCUCCUUUCCCUUGGCAUAAAAUAACGAGGUCAAAUUUGAUCGUUUUCCAAGAAAAUAGCGUAUUGUUUUUCCUUCUCUUACGUGAUUCAAGCGCCAGGGAAGCCAAUGGAGGAGGAUGGCAUGAUGCUUCGGAAAAAUCACUCUCUUGGUAAUGCCAAAAAGUCAUCGGAAUGCCUUCUAAGAACAUUACAUGUCGUAGCCAUCAAAUACUUUCAUUUCAUUUUAUUAAUGAGGAUGCUCUAAUGGAAGAACGGUUUGCCUCAAUUAAGCCGUAUUAGACUCUUCAAGGCAACCCUUGGCUUCAGUUAUCUCAAUCCCUUAAAGAAUUCUUUUCAUGGUAAGUCAUUAACAUGUUAUCGAUACACUGCUAUAUUCUCUUCACAAGAUUCCCUGGCCAUUUUGGAUUCUUGAUGAGAUUUACGUGUUGAAUUUGACCGAGGGCUGAAUAUCGAUCAAAUUCAUCCUGUCUGGAAAAAUGAGCUUCAGAUUUUAUGUUUUACUCAUUCAAGUACUAGGAUUUUUUAUGCUAUGUAAUGUGGAUUUGUUCCGCUGAUGCUUAUCCUGGACCUUCGGAAUAGCAAGAUAUACAAUAGCCUUUUCACGAUGAAGGAAACGAUGCCUUUUUAGUCUAGGACAUAUAAACCAAAGAGAACCACACGUGGAGGUAGUUCUGAUGUGAGAUUAAGAAUGAAGUGACUGUGUAAUGGAUUGUUUGUUUUGGCACCGGAAUGAGGGCAGAGCUGGACGCGUUCUUGCUCUGUGAGAGUUUUGGUGUCAAGACUACUCUAAAAGAUUUGGUAGUAACCGAAUCAGUGGAUGACAAAUUGAUCUCAUGAUGUUGCACCAAUUUGCAGGAGCUGUUAAUGCCCUUUUUAGGGAUGGUUUUUUGGUUUUUGAAGCAGCUAUUUGAAUUGAUGCAGUUUAUGAAGGUUGCAAUUCAUAAUUAUAGUUCUUGACAGUUCAGGCAGCUUGAGACUCUGGAAUUAUAUCCUUUAACUCCUGAUUUGUCUAAGGAUUAAUACUUGACAGCAAUUUCCUUAUGAACUUGAGGAAAAUAUCGAUCAUAAUGUGUGAUUCCUAAUGCUGAAGAUUGAACAUUUUAACAUUAGAAACAGAGGACGCAUAUGCGGAGUCUAAGGAUUUCUGUUCGAUAUUCUUUUGCUCCAGAGAGAACUUACUUUUUUAGCUAGGACGUUCCUGGCUAGAUGCCAAAGAAGCUGUUGGCCAACGAUUCAAAUAUCUUUCUUCGUCGUCCUUAUGGUAAAAUCAAGUUCGCUCCCCUACUCAUGAUAUUGUUAGCAUUAGUUAAUUAAGUACAGAGGUAUAGAGUAGUAUGUUCGAUUCGCAUUACUUAGCGUUCUAAAUUUGUCCGCAGAUCUAGGGUUUUGAACCUCUGUGGCCGCUUUAUGUUCUUGUUCCUGAAAUUAUAGUUGAAUUCCAUUGUCAGUUUCCAUUAUUCUCCCAAUCUACAGGAAAGGAAAAACAGAGGCACUUCACAGUAGUCUCUUUUCUUUUCCCAUUUGUUGCAACAGAACAAGAACAGACAGACACAGACAGCAGGAAGAAAAAAAAAGUUACAGAAGAAAGGGGUGAUCGUGAAGUGAGGUGAAGGGAUCUGAGUUGAUGCAUCCACUGAACGAGGACAGAGAAUCAGAGGGCUUGUGCACAUAUCUUCCGGCAAGCAAAGCGGCUUUCGUGACAAGAGAGAGGAUGUCGACGACAUCCUCGACUUAUGCAUUUGCUUCCUUAAACGUUCGCACUCUGGAGUUCUUGACGUUGGCCAUGCAGCUCAGUGAGUUUUCGCUGCGCUCCUGGCUCAGAUAGUCAUAUGCACAACCCCCACCAGGUCUCUGUCACUGCUCCUAUAUAUUUAUGUGGGCGGUACGAGCUGUGUUUACAUAAAAGAUCAAAUUAAAACGUCAUUUGAUUUCUUCAUCA
Long non-coding RNA from Eucalyptus grandis, 2120 nucleotides. RefSeq lists it as uncharacterized. The transcript has 2 exons. The record is from RefSeq and is a predicted model, not a curated record. NCBI's taxonomy places the organism in Eukaryota, Viridiplantae, Streptophyta, Magnoliopsida, Myrtales, Myrtaceae.